GAAAUUUCAAACAUACAAAUCAAGAAAGCUUCUGACUAUAAAGAUGAUCAUAUAAAAAAUGGAUUGGAGCAUGUACUUACAGUCAUGAUAGAUAAAGAUUACUAUGGAACGCAAUAUUUAAAUCAAAUGUUCAUUGUACCGGAACAUGCAGAUACUAAAACCUAUGACUCUCUAGAAC
This is a long non-coding RNA of Adelges cooleyi (spruce gall adelgid), 178 nucleotides long. RefSeq lists it as uncharacterized. The record is from RefSeq and is a predicted model, not a curated record. The transcript has 5 exons. Lineage: Eukaryota; Metazoa; Arthropoda; Insecta; Hemiptera; Adelgidae.